CAAAAUGGGAGGUGAAUUUCUCCUAAGGCUAAAUACAGGCGAGAGACCGAUAGCGAACAAGUACCGUGAGGGAAAGAUGAAAAGAACUUUGAAAAGAGAGUUAAACAGUACGUGAAAUUGUUGAAAGGGAAACGAUUAAAGUCAGUCGUACUGACGAGGAAUCAACCUUUUGAGCGUGGAUUCGUAGGAUUCAAAGAGCCUUUGUCCUUGCGAUAUUCGCGUUUUUUCGGAGUACUUUCUCGUGUUGUAGGUUAGCAUCGGUUUCGACCGUUAUAAAAUGAUCGGAGGAAUGUAGCUUCGAUUUCGAUUGAAGUGUUAUAACCUCUGUUAGAUGUAACUGUCGGGAUCGAGGAUUGCAACGAAUACCCUAAUGGGCUAUCCGUCUGGCCUCUGAUACGUCGCUUCGGCGUCGAAAGCUUGCUUAUGAUGUUGAAGCGUUCGGUCAAAAGGUUAGAACGGAUUAAAUUCGUUAAGGAUGCUGACGUAAUGACUUUAAACGACCCGUCUUGAAACACGGACCAAGGAG
Molecule: ribosomal RNA, 526 nt
Filed under: uncultured Glomus
Lineage: Eukaryota; Fungi; Glomeromycota; Glomeromycetes; Glomerales; Glomeraceae
Description: LSU rRNA
Rfam family: Eukaryotic large subunit ribosomal RNA
Source: RNAcentral